This is a long non-coding RNA of Aquila chrysaetos chrysaetos, 698 nucleotides long. RefSeq lists it as uncharacterized. NCBI's taxonomy places the organism in Eukaryota, Metazoa, Chordata, Aves, Accipitriformes, Accipitridae. The transcript has 3 exons. The record is from RefSeq and is a predicted model, not a curated record.
UCUCCAGGCUAGGACCCAGCUGCUCUCAUCAUGCAACAGGCUCAGAAAAAGGUUGGGGGACCAGCAACAAAAUACGAGGUCUUUGGUCUCGGUGCAGCUUUCCAGCAGCCUUCAGCUUACAAGAAGAGAGAAGUUGCCUGGGAGACCUGGCACUGAAGGAAAGGCUCUCCUCCUUCCGCGAUGCUCCUUGCAAUGGUGCAUCAGUUCUGACCAUACCAGGUGGGAUGAGAUUCAGAGCAGCUGGUGUAGGUUUAUUAUAGCUCUCCUGCUUACACAGAAUGGAUGUGGACCAGCACGGAUUUUCACCAGGGCCUUAUUCUGCACUCUGGGUAAGCAAGUAUAGCUACCUGACUACUUCUGUGUCCCAAAACCAUGUGUCUGGAUACCUGUUUUCACCUGGAGGGCUCAAGAAAGGGGAGCAGGUCACCAGCUAAGUCACCAAGAUGUCCAUCCAUCUCCCCAAGUCACUGUUUUGUAGUCUCAUGUUCAGAGCUGGAGCCGCAGGAAUGAAUGCUUGCACAAUGGAAGUUCGAGCCUACGGGAGGUCUCCUGUCUAAGCAGAAAAAAAUGACAGGUUUUAAAAUACUUCAUAGCCAUUUGUAACUCUCUCCAAGGAGAGUGUUUUGUCUUCUGCUUCAUCAGUGCAUACAGACUGCCAUCUCCCAUUAUGGGAAUAAUGUAAAAUAAAAUACAAUAAA